Molecule: ribosomal RNA, 896 nt
Filed under: Streptomyces ipomoeae
Lineage: Bacteria; Bacillati; Actinomycetota; Actinomycetes; Kitasatosporales; Streptomycetaceae
Description: partial 23S ribosomal RNA
Rfam family: Bacterial large subunit ribosomal RNA
Source: RNAcentral
UAGGCGAAGGACAUGCGAAAGGUCCGGCGUAGAGGGUAAGACCCCCGUAGCUGAAAUCUGUACGGCUCGUUGGAGAGACACCCAAGUAGCACGGGGCCCGAGAAAUCCCGUGUGAAUCUGGCGGGACCACCCGCUAAGCCUAAAUAUUCCCUGGUGACCGAUAGCGGAUAGUACCGUGAGGGAAUGGUGAAAAGUACCCCGGGAGGGGAGUGAAAUAGUACCUGAAACCGUGUGCCUACAAGCCGUGGGAGCGUCGGACAUCAGCUUGCUGGUGUCUCGUGACUGCGUGCCUUUUGAAGAAUGAGCCUGCGAGUUUGCGGUGUGUUGCGAGGUUAACCCGGGUGGGGUAGCCGUAGCGAAAGCGAGUCCGAACAGGGCGGUGUAGUAGCGCGCUCAAGACCCGAAGCGGAGUGAUCUAGCCAUGGGCAGGUUGAAGCGGAGGUAAGACUUCGUGGAGGACCGAACCCACCAGGGUUGAAAACCUGGGGGAUGACCUGUGGUUAGGGGUGAAAGGCCAAUCAAACUCCGUGAUAGCUGGUUCUCCCCGAAAUGCAUUUAGGUGCAGCGUCGUGUGUUUCUUGCCGGAGGUAGAGCACUGGAUAGGCGAUGGGCCCUACCGGGUUACUGACCUUAGCCAAACUCCGAAUGCCGGUAAGUGAGAGCGCGGCAGUGAGACUGUGGGGGAUAAGCUCCAUGGUCGAGAGGGAAACAGCCCAGAGCAUCGACUAAGGCCCCUAAGCGUACGCUAAGUGGGAAAGGAUGUGGAGUCGCAGAGACAACCAGGAGGUUGGCUUAGAAGCAGCCACCCUUGAAAGAGUGCGUAAUAGCUCACUGGUCUAGUGAUUCCGCGCCGACAAUGUAGCGGGGCUCAAGCGUACCGCCGAAGUCGUGUCAUU